Cydia amplana is the source of this 386-nucleotide long non-coding RNA. RefSeq lists it as uncharacterized. The record is from RefSeq and is a predicted model, not a curated record. NCBI's taxonomy places the organism in Eukaryota, Metazoa, Arthropoda, Insecta, Lepidoptera, Tortricidae. The transcript has 2 exons.
GGGGACACACAUUUUACCACUUUGGAAGUGUCUCUCGCGCAAACUAUUCAGUUUAGAAAAAAAUGAUAUUAGAAACCUCAAUAUCAUUUUUGAAGACCUAUCCAUAGAUACCCCACACGUAUGGGUUUGAUGAAAAAAAAUUUUUGAGCGAUUUAUGACGUAUUAAAAAAAAACUAUUUACUAGAUCUCGUUCAAACCAAUUUUUGGUGGAAGUUUACAUGGUAAUGUACAUCAUAUUUUUUUUUUAGUUUUAUCAUUCUCUUAUUUUAGAAGUUACAGGGGGGGGGGACACAUUUUACCACUUUGGAAGUGUCUCUCGCGCAAACUAUUCAGUUUAGAAAAAAAUUAUAUUAGAAACCUCAAUAUCAUUUUUGAAGACCUAUCCA